Rattus norvegicus (Norway rat) is the source of this 681-nucleotide non-coding RNA. NCBI's taxonomy places the organism in Eukaryota, Metazoa, Chordata, Mammalia, Rodentia, Muridae. The record is from RefSeq and is a predicted model, not a curated record.
AACAAACGCAAUCCACUUCGUUUAUGAACUGGAUGUAGUGCCGUCUAUGGGAUAAGACACAUCACGUAACUACCUCUCUAAUAAGGGCACCCUGAGUGUGGCUCCUGGAAGCAGUGUCCCCAGCCUAUGCUGUCACUCCCUGAGAGUCAGGAAGGCCUGCUGAGGACUUUACAUCUCCAGCUGUCCUGGACUCUCUGGUCUCUGCCUUCUGAGGCCAAGAGGACAGAAGCAGACAUUCUUACUACCAGCAGCCAGAGGCACUUGGGAUUCAGAAAAUACCAUCCCACUGAGAGGAGGCAACAAGAAUCACCAAGGUCCUCCAUGAGGGGCCUACCUCAUACCUGGCCUUCACCUGCUCUCUGCUGGUUCCAAAAGCUUGGCGGAAGGCGCUUAAGUCUAUUUGACUGUCCCUGUCAUCAUAAGGUUUACGGAUGGUUAAUUUAUUCUUUAUAGCACAGCCAUUGAUGGCUGUUAAAUCACAAAUGAGAGCCAAUAAAGGGUGAAUUGCAGCUGAAAUUACACUGUUUAUAUGACAGCAGAGUGCCGGCUAAAAGAUUCAUAUGCUCCUGAUGAAGUAUGUUAUAAAUUUUAAUUACCAUAGUUUGUACAAAUGACAUGUUUGAAAUGCUAUUGAGUAAUGUGACCCUGAUAAUGAAACUAUAAAAUAAAUCAUUAACUUUC